Molecule: ribosomal RNA, 600 nt
Filed under: uncultured bacterium
Lineage: Bacteria
Description: bacterial SSU rRNA
Rfam family: Bacterial small subunit ribosomal RNA
Source: RNAcentral
UGCAGUCGAACGGUAACAGGCCGCAAGGUGCUGACGAGUGGCGAACGGGUGAGUAAUGCAUCGGAACGUGCCCAGUCGUGGGGGAUAACGCAGCGAAAGCUGUGCUAAUACCGCAUACGAUCUAUGGAUGAAAGCGGGGGACCAUAAGGCCUCGCGCGAUUGGAGCGGCCGAUGUCAGAUUAGCUAGUUGGUGGGGUAAAGGCCCACCAAGGCGACGAUCUGUAGCUGGUCUGAGAGGACGACCAGCCACACUGGAACUGAGACACGGUCCAGACUCCUACGGGAGGCAGCAGUGGGGAAUUUUGGACAAUGGGCGCAAGCCUGAUCCAGCAAUGCCGCGUGCAGGAAGAAGGCCUUCGGGUUGUAAACUGCUUUUGUACGGAACGAAACGGUCUGGGUUAAUACCUCGGGCUAAUGACGGUACCGUAAGAAUAAGCACCGGCUAACUACGUGCCAGCAGCCGCGGUAAUACGUAGGGUGCGAGCGUUAAUCGGAAUUACUGGGCGUAAAGCGUGCGCAGGCGGUUUUGUAAGACAGUCGUGAAAUCCCCGGGCUCAACCUGGGAAUUGCGAUUGUGACUGCAAAGCUGGAGUGCGGCAG